Molecule: unclassified non-coding RNA, 477 nt
Filed under: Hevea brasiliensis (rubber tree)
Lineage: Eukaryota; Viridiplantae; Streptophyta; Magnoliopsida; Malpighiales; Euphorbiaceae
Source: RNAcentral
GGGUAAACUCCAUUAUUAUUCAGAAACAGAUACUUCUACACACAAUCCAGCUAUCAUCACUCUUCUUGAAACCUCUCGACACUUGAACCCCCGUACCGCAAUUCUACCGCAUCCAAACUCACCAUUUACACGAUGAAAUAAAAGGGAUAUGCAUAAAGUUAUCCGACCAAAUAUCGCUGCAUAUAAGAGAUAAACUAUCUGAAGCAUGUCCAAGAAUUCAAACUCAGGGGGAUGAAACAAUGUACAUUGCCCGUCAAGACUCUGGUGCAGGUGGACCGGUAGGUGCGGGGGGCUUCAAAAGAGGUUGAAGGGCUUUCACAACGAUGCUCAUAUUUGGUCGGAACUCGGCUUCAUACUGCACGCACAAUGCGGCCACAGCUGCUAGCUUUGCAACUCCUUUAGGAGGGUAUUCUCCCUUUAGUCUUGGAUCUACACAUUGCUUCACUUUGUCCUCGCUUAGCCUUGGAGUAGCCCAGG